This is a long non-coding RNA of Gorilla gorilla gorilla (western lowland gorilla), 691 nucleotides long. RefSeq lists it as uncharacterized. NCBI's taxonomy places the organism in Eukaryota, Metazoa, Chordata, Mammalia, Primates, Hominidae. The transcript has 3 exons. The record is from RefSeq and is a predicted model, not a curated record.
GUUAAACAAAUUGUGGUACAUUCCUACAAUGAAAUACUACUCAGCAAUAAGAAGGAAUAGACUGUUGAUACGUUCAACAAGUUGGGUGAAUCUCAAAGACACUAUGCUGAGUAAAAGAAGCCAUCUCAAAAGGGCUGCAUACCAAAAGGAACAAAAGCACAAAACAAACAAACAAACAAACAAACAAGCAGAUGAUGGUGGAAACUAUCUUCAAAACUUCCCUGUUCUGGUAAAGACGUUUUCAGAGCUCAAACUAGUCCUGCUGAAAAUAUUUUUUAAAAUAUGAAAGCAUAGCGGAAAAUUUGUAUGAAAAAGAAAAAAGAAAAAGGAGGAGGAGGAGGAAGAAGAAGAAAGAAGAAAAAGGAGAGGAAGAAGAAGAAGGAGGAGGAGAAGAACAAGAGGAGGAGGAGGAGGAAAUGGCAGAGACAAUGUAUGUCCCAGAAAGCCUAAAAUGUGUACUGUUUGUCCGUUUAUAGAAAAAGUGUGCCAAUCCCUACUCUGUUCCCAAUUUUAAAAACAAAUAAAUAAAAAGAAAAACAAGCAAGUCUCUCAGCCAAGAAAGAAUCGAUGGGAACUUUUUCAACUUUAUAAAGUGGAUCUACAAAACUACAACUAACACUAACGUCACACCUAAUGGUGAAAGUCUGAAUGUUUUCCCUCUAAGACUAGGAAAAGGUGGCAUGGAUGUCCA